Molecule: ribosomal RNA, 484 nt
Filed under: uncultured bacterium
Lineage: Bacteria
Description: partial 16S ribosomal RNA
Rfam family: Bacterial small subunit ribosomal RNA
Source: RNAcentral
AGUGAACGCUGGCGGCAGGCCUAACACAUGCAAGUCGAGCGGCAGCGCGGGGGCAACCCUGGCGGCGAGCGGCGGACGGGUGAGGAAUUCGUCGGAAUCUGCCUUUUUGUGGGGGAUAACGUAGGGAAACUUACGCUAAUACCACAUACGUCCUACGGGAGAAAGUGGGGGACCGCAAGGCCUCACGCAGAAAGAUGAGCCGACGACCGAUUAGCUAGUUGGUGGGGUAAAGGCCCACCAAGGCGACGAUCGGUAGCUGGUCUGAGAGGAUGAUCAGCCACACUGGGACUGAGACACGGCCCAGACUCCUACGGGAGGCAGCAGUGGGGAAUAUUGGACAAUGGGCGCAAGCCUGAUCCAGCCAUGCCGCGUGUGUGAAGAAGGCCUUCGGGUUGUAAAGCACUUUUGUCCGGAAAGAAAUCCCUGGAGCUAAUACCUUCGGGGGAUGACGGUACCGGAAGAAUAAGCACCGGCUAACUUCGUG